GAAAAUGGAUGGCGCUGUAGCGUCGUGCCUAUACUCGGCCGUCAACGGUACAGUGGGCGGCGACCUUCGCGGGCGCCGGGCCGUUAUACCUUGACGAGUAGGAGGGCGCGGCGAUGUGCGCAGAAGGGUCUGGGCGUGAGCCUGCCUGGAGCCGUCGCCGGCGCAGAUCUUGGUGGUAGUAGCAAAUACUCCAGCGAGGACCUGGAGGACUGACGUGGAGAAGGGUUUCUUGUGAACAGCUGUUGCACAAGAGUCAGUCGAUCCUAAGCCCUAGGAGAAAUCCUAUGUCGAUGGGAAGCCGUUUGAAAUUUGAUCGAUCUCCCGUUUAUUCGGGUGAGAGUUCUGAUAAAAUGUGCGACCCACGGGGCGAAAGGGAAUCCGGUUCCUAUUCCGGAACCCGGCUGCGGAACCGUCUUAUGCGGGCCCUUGCAUGAGAGCUCGACGGGGCAACCCGAAGAGACCCGGAGACGCCGGCGGGAGGUCCGGAGAGAGUUUUCUUUUCUCUAUAAGCGUUCGAGUUCCCUGGAAGCCUAUUGCAGGGAGAUAGGGUUUGGAACGCGAAGAGCACCGCAGUUGCGGCGGUGUCCGGAUCUUCCCCUCGGACCUUGAAAAUCCGGGAGAGGGCUACGCGGACAUCCGCGCCGGAUCGUACCCAUAUCCGCAGCAGGUCUCCAAGGUUAAGAGCCUCUAGUCGAUAGAAUAAUGUAGGUAAGGGAAGUCGGCAAACUUGAUCCGUAACUUCGGAACAAGGAUUGGCUCUGAGGAUCGGGGCGUGUCGGGCUUGGUCGGGAAGUGGGUUUGUGCCAACGUGCCGGGCCUGGGCGAAGUGAAGAUUUAUAUCGGAUCUGAGCUCGGUCCCGUGCCUUGGCCUCCCGCGGAUCUUCCUUGCUGCGAGGUGUUGGCUGACUUGUCGCGGGUUUAACGAUCCGAAGGACGGGCCUUCUAUCUCUUCGGCCGCCAUUCAACGAUCAACUCAGAACUGGCACGGACCGGGGGAAUCCGACUGUCUAAUUAAAACAAAGCAUUGCGAUGGCCCCAGAGGGUGCUGACGCAAUGUGAUUUCUGCCCAGUGCUCUGAAUGUCAACGUGAAGAAAUUCAAGCAAGCGCGGGUAAACGGCGGGAGUAACUAUGACUCUCUUAAGGUAUGCCAAAUGCCUCGUCAUCUAAUUAGUGACGCGCAUGAAUGGAUUAACGAGAUUCCCGCUGUCCCUAUCUACUAUCUAGCGAAACCACUGCCAAGGGA
This 1244-nucleotide ribosomal RNA is filed under the name Clastoptera xanthocephala. Its description in RNAcentral is "eukaryotic LSU rRNA". It matches the Rfam family "Eukaryotic large subunit ribosomal RNA", at positions 1314 to 2378 of the family's 3401-position model. Lineage: Eukaryota; Metazoa; Arthropoda; Insecta; Hemiptera; Clastopteridae. The record is from RNAcentral.